UGAGGAAUAUUGGUCAAUGGACGGAAGUCUGAACCAGCCAUGCCGCGUGAAGGAUGAAGGCGUUCUGCGUUGUAAACUUCUUUUAUCUGGGAAGAAACCACAGAUUUCUAUUUGUGUUGACGGUACCAGAUGAAUAAGCACCGGCUAACUCCGUGCCAGCAGCCGCGGUAAUACGGAGGGUGCGAGCGUUAUCCGGAUUUACUGGGUUUAAAGGGUGCGUAGGCGGGCUAUUAAGUCAGAGGUGAAAUCUCCGGGCUCAACCUGGAAACUGCCUUUGAUACUAUUAGCCUUGAAUUAUGUUGAGGUUGGCGGAAUAUAACAUGUAGCGGUGAAAUGCUUAGAUAUGUUAUGGAACACCGAUUGCGAAGGCAGCUGGCUAAACAUAUAUUGACGCUGAUGCACGAAAGCGUGGGUAGCGAACA
This 422-nucleotide ribosomal RNA is filed under the name uncultured bacterium. RNAcentral's name for it is "bacterial SSU rRNA". It matches the Rfam family "Bacterial small subunit ribosomal RNA", at positions 355 to 774 of the family's 1533-position model. The record is from RNAcentral.